CGCUGAUGUUAUAUUUCCCCUGAAGACGCCUCUCCUCCGCCUCCAGCUGCUCCUUUUCACGCAUUUCAAAGUCGGACUCCAGGGCGUCAAAGACGGCGGCCCCCACGAGCAGGUUCCAUGCGCUCCAGACAGACACCGUGCGGGGGGGCGGCUCUCCUUCCGCCUGUCAGCGUGUCACGACUCCGCGGAGCUCCGGCAUGAGUUCACCUGCUGCUGUAAGCCUUCCUCCCCACGCAGCGGGGCUGCGCCCCUCCCCGAACUCCCACUAUGACCACUCCUCCUCACGGAGCUUCACCAGCUCAGAUGAUGGGCUUUCUAUGGAGCCCCGUCCGCGGUGCUGAAGAGACGCAGUGAAGCUUUACCCAGACUUAAAAAAAACUUUUAAACAAAUGACUUUAGUCUGAGAGCUGAACACAUUUUUUUAAAAUCCUUUCUGGCUCCAUGAAGAGCUCUGUUAGAGAUGUUUCUCUUGUUCAGCUUCAGAUCUUUGCUGUUCUUCUGCUGAAGCUUUGAACUGACAAAACUAAGCUGUAAAUGUAAAAAAACAGCAACAAAUGCAACAGAAAACGUUUUCAGGUAGAGAACUGAGUCAUAAUCUUUGUUUUUCACGUGGGUUUUCAAAAAACUCAUGUCUUUACAUUUGUAAUUUCCUAAAUAACCGUACAUUUUAUUUGCUUCCCCUCACAUUCAUGGUUUUAGACAUGUUUAACAUGAAUAUUUAUGCCUAAGCUUAAACAAGCCCGAGGAGUGUUGUAAAAUACCUAUAAAAAGAAAUGAAGGUUUACUUUUUUAA
Molecule: non-coding RNA, 793 nt
Organism: Oryzias latipes (Japanese medaka)
Lineage: Eukaryota; Metazoa; Chordata; Actinopteri; Beloniformes; Adrianichthyidae
Source: RefSeq, a predicted model, not a curated record